GUCCGUGUAACUCAGUGGUAGAGUGUGAGAUUGCAACCUUGGUGCAAAUAAGUGCAAACAAGCAUAAGUCAACAAUCUUGAAGCCGCGUGUUCGAACCACGCCACGGACU
RNAcentral lists this transfer RNA (110 nucleotides) under Lentinula raphanica. RNAcentral's name for it is "tRNA-Cys". It matches the Rfam family "tRNA". Rfam says of the family: Transfer RNA (tRNA) molecules are approximately 80 nucleotides in length. Their secondary structure includes four short double-helical elements and three loops (D, anti-codon, and T loops). Lineage: Eukaryota; Fungi; Basidiomycota; Agaricomycetes; Agaricales; Omphalotaceae. The record is from RNAcentral.